Molecule: small RNA, 68 nt
Filed under: Nocardia neocaledoniensis
Lineage: Bacteria; Bacillati; Actinomycetota; Actinomycetes; Mycobacteriales; Nocardiaceae
Description: ASdes TB sRNA
Rfam family: ASdes TB sRNA
Source: RNAcentral
AGCGCGACCGGGUCGACCGCGCGGGUGACGACGAGGUAGUCGCGCAUGACGAUGCCGUGCCGGUUCUC